This 299-nucleotide small RNA is filed under the name Puniceibacterium sp. IMCC21224. RNAcentral describes it as "Long range pseudoknot". The record is from RNAcentral. Lineage: Bacteria; Pseudomonadati; Pseudomonadota; Alphaproteobacteria; Rhodobacterales; Paracoccaceae.
ACGGACGUGCAUGACUACGAAGUGAAGAUGCGUUCGGUUUUCAAGUUUCUCGAGAAUGGCGACAAGUGCAAGAUCACCCUGCGGUUCCGUGGCCGUGAGAUGGCGCACCAGAACCUUGGGCGCGAGUUGCUCGAACGCGUGGCUGAAGAUGUCAAAGAGAUCGGCAAGAUCGAGAAUAUGCCAAAGAUGGAAGGCCGCCAGAUGAUCAUGAUGAUCGGACCGGUUGCCAAGUAACCAGAUCGGCACAGGCCCGCACCUGAUCCGGGCAACGAUCCAAGGGGUGCGCAGCGGCGCGCCCC